This 243-nucleotide ribosomal RNA is filed under the name uncultured bacterium. Its description in RNAcentral is "partial 16S ribosomal RNA". It matches the Rfam family "Bacterial small subunit ribosomal RNA", at positions 534 to 776 of the family's 1533-position model. The record is from RNAcentral.
GCUAGCGUUGUUCGGAAUUACUGGGCGUAAAGCGCGCGUAGGCGGCUUUGUAAGUUAGAGGUGAAAGCCCGGGGCUCAACCCCGGAACUGCCUUUAAGACUGCAUCGCUUGAAUCCGGGAGAGGUGAGUGGAAUUUCCGGUGUAGCGGUGAAAUGCGUAGAUAUCGGAAGGAACACCUGUGGCGAAAGCGGCUCACUGGACCAUAACUGACGCUGAGGCGCGAAAGCUAGGGGAGCAAACAGG